RNAcentral lists this ribosomal RNA (491 nucleotides) under uncultured bacterium. RNAcentral's name for it is "partial 16S ribosomal RNA". It matches the Rfam family "Bacterial small subunit ribosomal RNA", at positions 29 to 506 of the family's 1533-position model. The record is from RNAcentral.
AGUGAACGCUGGCGGUAGGCCUAACACAUGCAAGUCGAACGGCAGCACAGUAAGAGCUUGCUCUUACGGGUGGCGAGUGGCGGACGGGUGAGGAAUACAUCGGAAUCUACUUUUUCGUGGGGGAUAACGUAGGGAAACUUACGCUAAUACCGCAUACGACCUACGGGUGAAAGCAGGGGAUCUUCGGACCUUGCGCGAUUGAAUGAGCCGAUGUCGGAUUAGCUAGUUGGCGGGGUAAAGGCCCACCAAGGCGACGAUCCGUAGCUGGUCUGAGAGGAUGAACCGCACCACUGGAACUGAACAACGUCCCUGACUCCUAGGGGGGGCAGCGGUGGGAAAUAUUGGCCAUGGGGCGAAAGCCUGUACCAGCCACACGGGGUGGGUGAAGAAGGCCUUCGGGUGGUAAAGCCCUUUUUUUGGGAAAAAAAAGAGGCAGGUUAAACCCCCCCUGUUCGACGGGAACCAAAAAAAAAAGCCCCGGCAACCUUCGG